UACGGAGGGGGCAAGCGUUGUUCGGAUUUACUGGGCGUAAAGGGUGUGUAGGCGGUUGCGUAAGUCUGGUGUGAAAUCUUCACCGCUUAACGGGAAGAGGUCACUGGAAACUGCGUAACUCGAGUAUGGUAGAGGCAAGCGGAAUUCCUGGUGUAGCGGUGGAAUGUGUAGAGAUCGGGAGGAACACCAGUGGCGAAAGCGGCUCUCUGGUCCAAAACUGACGCUGAGGGGCGAAAGCGUGGGGAGCGAACGGG
RNAcentral lists this ribosomal RNA (254 nucleotides) under uncultured bacterium. RNAcentral's name for it is "partial 16S ribosomal RNA". It matches the Rfam family "Bacterial small subunit ribosomal RNA", at positions 524 to 776 of the family's 1533-position model. The record is from RNAcentral.